UUUGAUUUUGUUUUUUAGAUCUAGGGGUUUUGGUGUGAUUUUUGAAAAAGCUAAUUAGAUAUUUGGAAAAAAAAAGUAAAAAAUGAAGUUUUUAUGAUUUUUGUAGGAUUUUUAACAUCAGCAAGCAGUGGUUAGCGACAGAGGAUGCAGCAUGACUGAGGAAAAAUUCAUCUAAAUCUAGAUUUGGCACUGCCGAUUUUUUAGGAUUUU
This 210-nucleotide long non-coding RNA is filed under the name Durio zibethinus. Its description in RNAcentral is "long non-coding RNA (DZIB_LNC000318)". The record is from RNAcentral. Lineage: Eukaryota; Viridiplantae; Streptophyta; Magnoliopsida; Malvales; Malvaceae.